RNAcentral lists this small RNA (862 nucleotides) under Pan troglodytes (chimpanzee). Its description in RNAcentral is "processed transcript". Lineage: Eukaryota; Metazoa; Chordata; Mammalia; Primates; Hominidae. The record is from RNAcentral.
AGUGAUCCUGCCUCCUCAGCGUCGCGAUUAGCUGGGUUUACAAGCGCAUGCCACCACGCCUGGCUUCAACAAACUUUUGUUAUUAAUUAGGACAGCAGGAGUACCUAGGAUUCUUUGGCGGCCAGUGAGGACUGGAAGAAGUGGAGAUUGGGUCACCAGGGAGUUGGGUUUUGCAAAGACUGCUAGGACAGGGUGGGACCUAUGGCAGGGACGGGCCCAACCCUCUUCCCCUGGACCACUUAUCCUCUUCUCUACCCCUGCUCAGCUUUGCUUGUGCCAUCUGCCCCCAUCGACCGGUACUGGACACCCUGGCCAUGCUGACUGCCCACCGUGCAGGCAAGAAACAUCUGUCCAGCUUGCAGCUUUUCUAUGGCAAGAAGCAGCCGGGAAAGGAAAGAAAGCAGAAUCCAAAACAUCAGAAUGAAUUGAGAAGGGAAGAAACCAAAGCUGAGGCUCCUCUGCUAACUCAGACACGACUUAUCACCCAGAGUGCUCUGCACAGAGCUCCCCACUAUAACAGUUGCUGCCGCCGGAAGUACAGACCAGAAGCCCCUGGUCCCUCUGUCUCCCUUUCCCCUAUGCCACCCUCAGAGGUCGAACUCCAAAGUGGGAAGAUCAGUAGGGAACCUGAACCUGCGGCUGGCCCACAGGCCGAGGAGUCAGCAACUGUCUCCGCCCCUGCACCCAUGAGCCCCACAAGAAGACGAGCCCUGGACCAUUAUCUCACCCUUCGAAGCUCUGGAUGGAUCCCAGAUGGACGAGGUCGAUGGGUAAAAGAUGAAAAUGUUGAGUUUGACUCUGAUGAGGAGGAACCACCUGAUCUCCCCUUGGACUGAUACCCUUUUCCCAUUCAUUCACAAAU